This 253-nucleotide ribosomal RNA is filed under the name uncultured bacterium. RNAcentral describes it as "partial 16S ribosomal RNA". It matches the Rfam family "Bacterial small subunit ribosomal RNA", at positions 524 to 776 of the family's 1533-position model. The record is from RNAcentral.
UACGUAGGUGGCGAGCGUUGUCCGGAUUUACUGGGCGUAAAGAGCGCGCAGGCGGUCGUUCAAGUCGCGUGUGAAAGCCCCCGGCUCAACCGGGGAGGGUCACGCGAUACUGAUCGACUCGAAGGCAGGAGAGGGAAGUGGAAUUCCCGGUGUAGUGGUGAAAUGCGUAGGUAUCGGGAGGAACACCAGUGGCGAAGGCGACUUCCUGGCCUGUUCUUGACGCUGAGGCGCGAAAGCUAGGGGAGCAAACGGG